AUUGAACGCUGGCGGCAUGCCUUACACAUGCAAGUCGAACGGCAGCACGGGAGCAAUCCUAGUGGCGAGUGGCGAACGGGUGAGUAAAGUAUCGGAACGUGCCCAGUCGUGGGGGAUAACGUAGCGAAAGUUACGCUAAUACCGCAUACGAUCUAUGGAUGAAAGCGGGGGAUCGCAAGACCUCGCGCGAUUGGAGCGGCCGAUAUCAGAUUAGGUAGUUGGUGGGGUAAAGGCUCACCGAGCCGACGAUUUGUAGCUGGUCUGAGAGGACGACCAGCCACACUGGGACUGAGACACGGGCCAGACUCCUACGGGAGGCAGCAGUGGGGAAUUUUGGACAAUGGGCGAAAGCCUGAUCCAGCCAUGCCGCGUGCAGGAUGAAGGCCUUCGGGUUGUAAACUGCUUUUGUACGGAACGAAAAGGUUUGGCCUAAUAAGCUGAGCUCAUGACGGUACCGUAAGAAUAAGCACCGGCUAACUACGUGCCAGCAGCCGCUGUAA
Molecule: ribosomal RNA, 500 nt
Filed under: uncultured bacterium
Lineage: Bacteria
Description: partial 16S ribosomal RNA
Rfam family: Bacterial small subunit ribosomal RNA
Source: RNAcentral